GACGAACGCUGGCGGCGUGCUUAACACAUGCAAGUCGAACGGAAAGGCCCUGCUUUUGUUGGGUGCUCGAGUGGCGAACGGGUGAGUAACACGUGAGUAACCUGCCCUUGACUUUGGGAUAACUUCAGGUAACUGUGGCUAAUACCGGAUAGGACCUCCUGCUGCUUGGUGGGGGUUGGAAAGUUUCGGCGGUUGGGGAUGGACUCGCUGCUUAUCAGCUUGUUGGUGUGGUAGUGGGUUACCAAGGUUUUGACGGGUAGCCGGCCUGAGAGGGUGACCGGCCACAGUGGGCCUGGGGAGCGGGCAGUAGUCCUACGGGGGGCAGAAGUGGGGGUUAUUGCGAGAUGGGCGGAAGGAGUGUGGAGCAACGCCGCGUGCGGGAUGACGGCCUUAGGGUUGUAAACCGCUUUCGCGUGUGACGAAGCGUGAGUGACGGUAAUGGGUAAAGAAGCACCGGCUAACUACGUG
Molecule: ribosomal RNA, 468 nt
Filed under: uncultured bacterium
Lineage: Bacteria
Description: partial 16S ribosomal RNA
Rfam family: Bacterial small subunit ribosomal RNA
Source: RNAcentral